CCUACGGGAGGCAGCAGUAGGGAAUUUUCGUCAAUGGGCGCAAGCCUGAACGAGCGAUGCCGCGUGAGUGAAGAAGGCCUUCGGGUCGUAAAGCUCUGUUGCGGGGGAAAAAAGGCAGCAUGAGGAAAUGGGCGCUGACUGAUGUUGCCCUGCCAGAAAGUCACGGCUAACUACGUGCCAGCAGCCGCGGUAAUACGUAGGUGGCGAGCGUUAUCCGGAAUGAUUGGGCGUAAAGGGUGCGUAGGCGGGCCUGCAAGUCUGGAGUGAAAGGCAUGAGCUCAACCCAUGAAAGGCUUUGGAAACUGGAGGGCUAGAGAGCAGGAGAGGGCGGUGGAACUCCAUGUGUAGCGGUAAAAUGCGUAGAUAUAUGGAAGAACACCAGUGGCGAAGGCGGCCGCCUGGCCUGUUACUGACGCUGAGGCACGAAAGCGUGGGGAGCAAAUAGGAUUAGAUACCCCUGUAGUC
This 465-nucleotide ribosomal RNA is filed under the name uncultured bacterium. RNAcentral's name for it is "partial 16S ribosomal RNA". It matches the Rfam family "Bacterial small subunit ribosomal RNA", at positions 338 to 795 of the family's 1533-position model. The record is from RNAcentral.